GACGAACGCGGCGGCGUGCUCUAAUACAUGCAAGUAGAACGCUGAAGGAGGAGCUUGCUUCUCGGGUGAGUUGCGAACGGGUGAGUAACGCGUAGGUAACCUGCCUGGUAGCGGGGGAUAACUAUUGGAAACGAUAGCUAAUACCCGCAUAAGAGUAGAUGUUGCAUGACAUUUGCUUAAAAGGUGCAAUUGCAUCACUACCAGAUGGACCUGCGUUGUAUUAGCUAGUUGGUGGGGUAACGGCUCACCAAGGCGACGAUACAUAGCCGACCUGAGAGGGUGAUCGGCCACACUGGGACUGAGACACGGCCCAGACUCCUACGGGAGGCAGCAGUAGGGAAUCUUCGGCAAUGGACGGAAGUCUGACCGAGCAACGCCGCGUGAGUGAAGAAGGUUUUCGGAUCGUAAAGCUCUGUUGUAAGAGAAGAACGAGUGUGAGAGUGGAAAGUUCACACUGUGACGGUAUCUUACCAGAAAGGGACGGCUAACUACGUGCCAGCAGCCGCGGUAAUACGUAGGUGGCAAGCGUUAUCCGGAUUUAUUGGGCGUAAAGAGAGUGCAGGCGGUUUUCUAAGUCUGAUGUGAAAGCCUUCGGCUUAACCGGAGAAGUGCAUCGGAAACUGGAUAACUUGAGUGCAGAAGAGGGUAGUGGAACUCCAUGUGUAGCGGUGGAAUGCGUAGAUAUAUGGAAGAACACCAGUGGCGAAGGCGGCUACCUGGUCUGCAACUGACGCUGAGACUCGAAAGCAUGGGUAGCGAACAGG
RNAcentral lists this ribosomal RNA (764 nucleotides) under uncultured Streptococcus sp. Its description in RNAcentral is "bacterial SSU rRNA". It matches the Rfam family "Bacterial small subunit ribosomal RNA", at positions 28 to 776 of the family's 1533-position model. The record is from RNAcentral. Lineage: Bacteria; Bacillati; Bacillota; Bacilli; Lactobacillales; Streptococcaceae.